ACUAGCCAUAACCCGGAUGGCCGCGGCAGCUUAAAUACACGCAACGCCCACCCGAUGCGACGGAAAGACAGACGGAAGACACGUUUUCACUUUGCCUUUUUCUAUCAUCAGAUCCGAAACGACGACAUAUCAUGGCAUCGAAACGUAGAAGAACUGUAAUAACUGUAGCGGAGCGAGUAAAAUGCAUCCGUUUGAGCGAGGCUGGACACAAAGU
Hippocampus comes (tiger tail seahorse) is the source of this 214-nucleotide long non-coding RNA. RefSeq lists it as uncharacterized. The transcript is spliced from 2 exons. NCBI's taxonomy places the organism in Eukaryota, Metazoa, Chordata, Actinopteri, Syngnathiformes, Syngnathidae. The record is from RefSeq and is a predicted model, not a curated record.